CAGGACGAACGCUGGCGGCGUGCCUAAUACAUGCAAGUCGAACGAACUCUGGUAUUGAUUGGUGCUUGCAUCAUGAUUUACAUUUGAGUGAGUGGCGAACUGGUGAGUAACACGUGGGAAACCUGCCCAGAAGCGGGGGAUAACACCUGGAAACAGAUGCUAAUACCGCAUAACAACUUGGACCGCAUGGUCCGAGCUUGAAAGAUGGCUUCGGCUAUCACUUUUGGAUGGUCCCGCGGCGUAUUAGCUAGAUGGUGGGGUAACGGCUCACCAUGGCAAUGAUACGUAGCCGACCUGAGAGGGUAAUCGGCCACAUUGGGACUGAGACACGGCCCAAACUCCUACGGGAGGCAGCAGUAGGGAAUCUUCCACAAUGGACGAAAGUCUGAUGGAGCAACGCCGCGUGAGUGAAGAAGGGUUUCGGCUCGUAAAACUCUGUUGUUAAAGAAGAACAUAUCUGAGAGUAACUGUUCAGGUAUUGACGGUAUUUAACCAGAAAGCCACGGCUAACUACGUGCCAGCAGCCGCGGUAAUACGUAGGUGGCAAGCGUUGUCCGGAUUUAUUGGGCGUAAAGCGAGCGCAGGCGGUUUUUUAAGUCUGAUGUGAAAGCCUUCGGCUCAACCGAAGAAGUGCAUCGGAAACUGGGAAACUUGAGUGCAGAAGAGGACAGUGGAACUCCAUGUGUAGCGGUGAAAUGCGUAGAUAUAUGGAAGAACACCAGUGGCGAAGGCGGCUGUCUGGUCUGUAACUGACGCUGAGGCUCGAAAGUAUGGGUAGCAAACAGGAUUAGAUACCCUGGUAGUCCAUACCGUAAACGAUGAAUGCUAAGUGUUGGAGGGUUUCCGCCCUUCAGUGCUGCAGCUAACGCAUUAAGCAUUCCGCCUGGGGAGUACGGCCGCAAGGCUGAAACUCAAAGGAAUUGACGGGGGCCCGCACAAGCGGUGGAGCAUGUGGUUUAAUUCGAAGCUACGCGAAGAACCUUACCAGGUCUUGACAUACUAUGCAAAUCUAAGAGAUUAGACGUUCCCUUCGGGGACAUGGAUACAGGUGGUGCAUGGUUGUCGUCAGCUCGUGUCGUGAGAUGUUGGGUUAAGUCCCGCAACGAGCGCAACCCUUAUUAUCAGUUGCCAGCAUUAAGUUGGGCACUCUGGUGAGACUGCCGGUGACAAACCGGAGGAAGGUGGGGAUGACGUCAAAUCAUCAUGCCCCUUAUGACCUGGGCUACACACGUGCUACAAUGGAUGGUACAACGAGUUGCGAACUCGCGAGAGUAAGCUAAUCUCUUAAAGCCAUUCUCAGUUCGGAUUGUAGGCUGCAACUCGCCUACAUGAAGUCGGAAUCGCUAGUAAUCGCGGAUCAGCAUGCCGCGGGUGAAUACGUUCCCGGGCCUUGUACACACCGCCCGUCACACCAUGAGAGUUUGUAACACCCAAAGUCGGUGGGGUAACCUUUUAGGAACCAGCCGCCUAAGGUGGGACAGAUGAUUAAGGGUGAAGUCGUAACAAGGUAGCCGUAAGA
This 1519-nucleotide ribosomal RNA is filed under the name Lactiplantibacillus plantarum. Its description in RNAcentral is "Lactobacillus plantarum partial 16S ribosomal RNA". It matches the Rfam family "Bacterial small subunit ribosomal RNA". The record is from RNAcentral. Lineage: Bacteria; Bacillati; Bacillota; Bacilli; Lactobacillales; Lactobacillaceae.